This 490-nucleotide ribosomal RNA is filed under the name uncultured bacterium. RNAcentral's name for it is "partial 16S ribosomal RNA". It matches the Rfam family "Bacterial small subunit ribosomal RNA", at positions 28 to 507 of the family's 1533-position model. The record is from RNAcentral.
GAUGAACGCUAGCGAUAGGCUUAACACAUGCAAGUCGAGGGGCAGCAUGGUCUUAGCUUGCUAAGACUGAUGGCGACCGGCGCACGGGUGCGUAACGCGUAUGCAACUUGCCUCACAGAGGGGGAUAACCCGUCGAAAGACGGACUAAUACCGCGUACACUUGGGAUAGGGCAUCCUGACCCAAGGAAAUGAAAUUCGCUGUGAGAUAGGCAUGCGUCCCAUUAGCUAGUUGGUGAGGUAGCGGCCCACCAAGGCGACGAUGGGUAGGGGAACUGAGAGGUUGAACCCCCACACUGGUACUGAGACACGGACCAGACUCCUACGGGAGGCAGCAGUGAGGAAUAUUGGUCAAUGGGCGAGAGCCUGAACCAGCCAAGUCGCGUGAAGGAUGACUGUCUUAUGGAUUGUAAACUUCUUUUAUACGGGAAUAACAAGAGCCACGUGUGGCCCCCUGCAUGUACCGUAUGAAUAAGCAUCGGCUAACUCCGUG